GACGAACGCUGGCGGCGUGCUUAACACAUGCAAGUCGAACGGUGAAGCUCCAGCUUGCUGGAGUGGAUCAGUGGCGAACGGGUGAGUAACACGUGAGCAACCUGCCCCUGACUCUGGAAUAAGCGCUGGAAACGGCGUCUAAUACUGGAUACGAGAAGGGUCCGCAUGGGCACUUUCUGGAAAGUUUUUCGGUUGGGGAUGGGCUCGCGGCCUAUCAGCUUGUUGGUGAGGUAAUGGCCCACCAAGGCGAGGACGGGUAGCCGGCCUGAGAGGGCGACCGGCCACACUGGGACUGAGACACGGCCCAGACUCCUACGGGAGGCAGCAGUGGGGAAUAUUGCACAAUGGGCGAAAGCCUGAUGCAGCGACGCCGCGUGAGGGAUGACGGCCUUCGGGUUGUAAACCUCUUUCAGCAGGGAAGAAGCGAAAGUGACGGUACCUGCAGAAGAAGCACCGGCUAACUACGUG
Molecule: ribosomal RNA, 468 nt
Filed under: uncultured bacterium
Lineage: Bacteria
Description: partial 16S ribosomal RNA
Rfam family: Bacterial small subunit ribosomal RNA
Source: RNAcentral